Molecule: ribosomal RNA, 305 nt
Filed under: uncultured bacterium
Lineage: Bacteria
Description: bacterial SSU rRNA
Rfam family: Bacterial small subunit ribosomal RNA
Source: RNAcentral
GCCUACGGGGCGCAGCAGUGAGGAAUAUUGGUCAAUGGCCGGAAGGCUGAACCAGCCAAGUCGCGUGAGGGACGACUGCCCUAUGGGUUGUAAACCUCUUUUAUAAGGGAAGAAUAAAUGCUACGUGUAGCAUGAUGCCUGUACCUUAUGAAUAAGCAUCGGCUAACUCCGUGCCAGCAGCCGCGGUAAUACGUAGGGGGCAAGCGUUAUCCGGAUUUAUUGGGUUUAAAGGGUGCGCAGGCGGAGGCACAAGUCAGCGGUAAAAUCGCGGGGCUCAACCCCGCUCCGCCGUUGAAACUGUGUCC